RNAcentral lists this ribosomal RNA (483 nucleotides) under uncultured bacterium. RNAcentral describes it as "partial 16S ribosomal RNA". It matches the Rfam family "Bacterial small subunit ribosomal RNA", at positions 30 to 506 of the family's 1533-position model. The record is from RNAcentral.
AUUGAACGCUGGCGGAAUGCUUUACACAUGCAAGUCGAACGGCAGCACGGGGGCAGCCCUGGUGGCGAGUGGCGAACGGGUGAGUAAUACAUCGGAACGUGCCCGGUCGUGGGGGAUAACGUAGCGAAAGUUACGCUAAUACCGCAUACGAUCUGAGGAUGAAAGCGGGGGACCUUCGGGCCUCGCGCGAUCGGAGCGGCCGAUGUCAGAUUAGGUAGUUGGUGGGGUAAAGGCCUACCAAGCCGACGAUCUGUAGCUGGUCUGAGAGGACGACCAGCCACACUGGGACUGAGACACGGCCCAGACUCCUACGGGAGGCAGCAGUGGGGAAUUUUGGACAAUGGGCGCAAGCCUGAUCCAGCCAUUCCGCGUGCAGGACGAAGGCCUUCGGGUUGUAAACUGCUUUUGUACGGAACGAAAAGGCUCUGGCUAAUACCUGGGGCUCAUGACGGUACCGAAAGAAUAAGCACCGGCUAACUACGU